This 1382-nucleotide ribosomal RNA is filed under the name metagenome. RNAcentral's name for it is "bacterial SSU rRNA". It matches the Rfam family "Bacterial small subunit ribosomal RNA", at positions 8 to 1380 of the family's 1533-position model. The record is from RNAcentral.
AGAGUUUGAUCCUGGCUCAGAUUGAACGCUGGCGGCAUGCCUAACACAUGCAAGUCGAACGGCAGCGCGGGGAGCUUGCUCCCUGGCGGCGAGUGGCGAACGGGUGAGUAAUGCUUGGGAAUCUGCCCUGUAGUGGGGGACAACCCCGGGAAACUCGGGCUAAUAUUGUAUAUGUCCUACGGGAGAAAGUGGGGGAUUUUUGGACCUCGCGCUAUAGGAUGAGCCCAAGUCGGAUUAGCUAGUUGGUGGGGUAAAAGUUUACCAAGGCAAUGAUCCGUAGCUGGUCUGAGAGGACGAUCAGCCACACUGGGAUUGAGAUACGGCCCAGACUCCUACGGGAGGCAGCAGUGGGGAAUAUUGGACAAUGGGGGAAACCCUGAUCCAGCAAUGCCGCGUGUGUGAAGAAGGCCUGCGGGUUGUAAAGCACUUUCAGUAGAGAAGAAAAGCAUAGGGAUAAUAUCCCUGUGUCUUGACGUUACCUACAGAAGAAGCACCGGCUAAUUCCGUGCCAGUAGUUGUGGUAAUACGGAAGGUGCGAGCGUUAAUCGGAAUUACUGGGCGUAAAGCGCGCGUAGGCGGCUGAGUAAGUCGGAUGUGAAAGCCCUGGGCUUAACUUGGGAAUUGCAUUCGAAACUGCUCAACUAGAGUAUGGAAGAGGAAAGCGGAAUUCCCGGUGUAGCGGUGAAAUGUGUAGAUAUCGGGAGGAACACCAGUGGUGAAGGCGGCUUCCUGGUCCAAUACUGACGCUGAGGUGCGAAAGCGUGGGGAGCAAACAGGAUUAGAUAUCCUGGUAGUCCACGCUGUAAACGAUGAGAACUAGAUGUUGGAAGGGUUAGCCUUUCGGUGUCGUAGCUAAUGCGUUAAGUUCUCCGCCUGGGGAGUACGCUGGCAACGGUAAAACUCAAAGGAAUUGACGGGGACCCGCACAAGCGGUGGAGCAUGUGGUUUAAUUCGAUGCAAUGUGAAGAAUCUUACCUGCCCUUGACAUUUUUGGAACUUGUCAGAGAUGACUUGGUGCCUUCGGGAACCGAGUGACAGGUGCUGCAUGGCUGUCGUCAGCUCGUGUCGUGAGAUGUUGGGUUAAGUCCUGCAACGAGCGUAACCCUUGUCCCUAGUUGCCAGCACGUAAUGGUGGGAAUUCUAGGGAGACCGCCGGUGACAAACCGGAGGAAGGUGGGGACGACGUCAAGUCAUCAUGGCCCUUAUGGGCAGGGCUACACACGUGCUACAAUGGUCGGUACAGAGGGUUGCUAACCCGUGAGGGGGCGUUAAUUUUAGAAAACCGAUCGUAGUCCGGAUCGGAGUCUGUAAUUUGACUCCGUGAAGUCGGAAUCGCUAGUAAUCGCGAAUCAGUAUUGUCGCGGUGAAUACGUUCCCGGGUC